This is a long non-coding RNA of Asparagus officinalis (garden asparagus), 621 nucleotides long. RefSeq lists it as uncharacterized. Lineage: Eukaryota; Viridiplantae; Streptophyta; Magnoliopsida; Asparagales; Asparagaceae. The transcript is spliced from 3 exons. The record is from RefSeq and is a predicted model, not a curated record.
CAUUUGCCCACCUGACCCACCCAUCAUUUGGCCCGCCCAAAACCCACCCAUUUAGUUAAAUGGGUCUAAUCGGGCGGGUUCCUCUCAAACCAAACUAAAUGGGUGCUAAAUGGGCGGUCUAUAUGCACCCGUUUGCCCACCCAUACUCCCAAAACCAAAACCCGACUCCAGCAAACCCUUCGCCUUCACUCUUCACCCUUCAGAAACUACCCGAUCUCAAAAAUCACGAUUUUCUCUCCUCUUCAUCUCUAGCUCGAGCUCGAGCUCGACCUCUAGCUUCCGACCUCCUCCUCUCCCCUCGAGCUCGACCUCGACCUCCGGCCUCCGAUCUCCUCUCUCCCUUGAGCUCGAGCUCUGCCUUCGAUCACCUCUGGCCUCUGAUCUCUUCUCCUUCGAUCUCCACUUCUCGACCUAGAUCUCUUCUCCUGCCCUUCGAUCUCCUCUUAUCUUUGAUCCCCAAUCCUCAGAUCAAGAGAAGGAGAUAGAAACAUAAUACAAGACAGCUCAGACUUCAGUGGCUGGAGUCAUGUGCUUACUGAUUGAACAAAUUUUAGAGCCUACCAAUCCGGUUUGAUAUGUCACACGCGCGAACACAGAUGUGGCCUUAAGGCAGUAUGUGAA